AACGCUAGCUACAGGCUUAACACAUGCAAGUCGAGGGGCAGCACAGUGUAGCAAUACAUGGGUGGCGACCGGCGCACGGGUGCGUAACGCGUAUCCAACCUUCCCGUUACUCUUGGAUAGCCUUCCGAAAGGGAGAUUAAUACAAGAUGGUAUUCAAAUUCCGCAUGUUAUUUGAAUUAAAGAUUUAUCGGUAACGGAUGGGGAUGCGUGACAUUAGAUAGUAGGCGGGGUAACGGCCCACCUAGUCUACGAUGUCUAGGGGUUCUGAGAGGAAGGUCCCCCACACUGGAACUGAGACACGGUCCAAACUCCUACGGGAGGCAGCAGUGAGGAAUAUUGGUCAAUGGGCGCUAGCCUGAACCAGCCAAGUAGCGUGAAGGAUGAAGGCUCUAUGGGUCGUAAACUUCUUUUAUAUAAGAAUAAAGUGCAGUAUGUAUACUGUUUUGUAUGUAUUAUAUGAAUAAGGAUCGGCUAACUCCGUGCCAGCAGCCGCGGUAAUACGGAGGAUCCGAGCGUUAUCCCGGAUUUAUUGGGUUUAAAGGGAGCGUAGGUGGACUGGUAAGUCAGUUGUGAAAGUUUGCGGCUCAACCGUAAAAUUGCAGUUGAUACUGUCAGUCUUGAGUACAGUAGAGGUGGGCGGAAUUCGUGGUGUAGCGGUGAAAUGCUUAGAUAUCACGAAGAACUCCGAUUG
Molecule: ribosomal RNA, 691 nt
Filed under: uncultured bacterium
Lineage: Bacteria
Description: bacterial SSU rRNA
Rfam family: Bacterial small subunit ribosomal RNA
Source: RNAcentral